Molecule: ribosomal RNA, 551 nt
Filed under: uncultured Acidobacteriota bacterium
Lineage: Bacteria; Pseudomonadati; Acidobacteriota
Description: bacterial SSU rRNA
Rfam family: Bacterial small subunit ribosomal RNA
Source: RNAcentral
UGGGGAAUUUUGCGCAAUGGGCUAACGCCUGACGCAGCAACGCCGCGUGGAGGAUGAAGGUCUUUGGAUUGUAAACUCCUGUCAGCAGGGAAAAAGCGAAUCGGCCUCAUACGCCGGUGAGUUGAUUGUACCUGCAGAGGAAGCCCCGGCUAACUCUGUGCCAGCAGCCGCGGUAAUACAGAGGGGGCAAGCGUUAUUCGGAAUUAUUGGGCGUAAAGGGCGCGUAGGCGGCCUGGCAAGUGGAAGGUGAAAUCCCUCGGCUUAACCGAGGAACUGCCUUCCAUACUGCUUGGCUUGAGACCAGGAGAGGUGAGUGGAAUUCCCAGUGUAGCGGUGAAAUGCGUAGAUAUUGGGAGGAACACCAGUGGCGAAGGCGGCUCACUGGACUGGUACUGACGCUGAGGCGCGAAAGCGUGGGGAGCAAACGGGAUUAGAUACCCCGGUAGUCCACGCCGUAAACGAUGAGUGCUUGGUGUAGCGGGUAUCGACCCCUGCUGUGCCGAAGUCAACACAUUAAGCACUCCGCCUGGGGAGUACGGUCGCAAGGCUGC